This 390-nucleotide unclassified non-coding RNA is filed under the name soil metagenome. RNAcentral's name for it is "partial contains 5.8S ribosomal RNA, internal transcribed spacer 2, and large subunit ribosomal RNA". The stretch from base 1 to 122 matches the Rfam family "5.8S ribosomal RNA", at positions 35 to 154 of the family's 154-position model. The record is from RNAcentral.
GAUGAAGAACGUAGCGAAAUGCGAUACUUGGUGUGAAUUGCAGAAUCCCGUGAACCAUCGAGUCUUUGAACGCAAGUUGCGCCCGAAGCCACUAGGCCGAGGGCACGCCUGCCUGGGCGUCACACGCCGUUGCCCCCCAUCUACUCCUUCGGGAUUGCGGGGGGGCGGAUGAUGGCCUCCCGUGCGCCUAGCCGCGCGGUUGGCAUAAAUACCAAGUCCUCGGCGACGCACGCCACGACAAUCGGUGGUUGCGAAACCUCGGUUGCCCGUCGUGUGCGUUCGUCGCGCAUCGAGGGCUCGAAAAAAUGCUCGGCUCCGGCUGGGCUUUCAACGCGACCCCAGGUCAGGCGGGGUUACCCGCUGAAUUUAAGCAUAUCAAUAAGCGGAGGA